Molecule: non-coding RNA, 79 nt
Organism: Myotis lucifugus (little brown bat)
Lineage: Eukaryota; Metazoa; Chordata; Mammalia; Chiroptera; Vespertilionidae
Source: Rfam
UUCGCCACUGAUUGUCCAAACGCAAUUCUUGUACGAGUCUGCGGCCAACCGAGAAUUGUGGCUGGACAUCUGUGGCUGA